This 427-nucleotide ribosomal RNA is filed under the name uncultured bacterium. RNAcentral's name for it is "partial 16S ribosomal RNA". It matches the Rfam family "Bacterial small subunit ribosomal RNA", at positions 354 to 795 of the family's 1533-position model. The record is from RNAcentral.
GUAGGGAAUAUUGCGCAAUGGGGGAAACCCUGACGCAGCGACGCCGCGUGAGUGAUGAAGGCCUUCGGGUCGUAAAGCUCUGUUGCAGGGGAAUAAAAAAAUGGAGGUACCCUGUGAGGAAGGAUCGGCUAACUUCGUGCCAGCAGCCGCGGUAAGACGAGGGAUCCUAGCGUUGCUCGGAAUCAUUGGGCGUAAAGAGGGCGUAGGUGGCUUGGUAAGUCAGGUGUGAAAGCCCAGGGCUCAACCCUGGAAGUGCAUUUGAUACUGCUGAGCUUGAGUGUCGGAGAGGUUACCGGAAUACCUGGUGUAGUGGUGAAAUACGUAGAUAUCAGGUGGAACACCGGAGGCGAAGGCGGGUAACUGGACGAACACUGACACUGAGGCCCGAAAGCGUGGGGAUCAAACAGGAUUAGAUACCCGAGUAGCC